UGUGCCGAUAAAGCUAUAUCUGUUUGAUACCGGUCUGAUGUGUAAGUGCUAGCUUGGAGGUAAGAGCCAUUCGAUGAAUAUAUUGCAGAACGAGAGAGUGUCAAUUGUAGAUAAUACUGCGACUGAAGUUAAGUUUAUGCAACAGUGCCAUGCAAGUUGUAAUGUGUAGCAACAAUGCAGUCAUGGCGCGCAAACGUAUAUCAUUUACGCCGACAAAUGGAUUGUACUGUCGGUGGAAUAUGUUCCAAAGACGUUUGCUGUGAAGUCCUCGAGAAUCCCUUAAUCUGAUGUUCAACGCAGCUGAAUUACUCAUAGGGUUGGUGGCGGGAAAGAUCACAAGAAUCUGACCUUGUAUUUGUCGACCUCAGGAUAUGAUUUUU
Mya arenaria is the source of this 380-nucleotide long non-coding RNA. RefSeq lists it as uncharacterized. Lineage: Eukaryota; Metazoa; Mollusca; Bivalvia; Myida; Myidae. The transcript is spliced from 3 exons. The record is from RefSeq and is a predicted model, not a curated record.